CCUACGGGGGGCAGCAGUAAGGAAUAUUGGUCAAUGGACGAAAGUCUGAACCAGCCAUCCCGCGUGCAGGAUGAAAGCCCUAUGGGUUGUAAACUGCUUUUAGCAGAGAAGAAAAGCUUCCAUUUAUAGGGGUCUGACGGUAUCUGCAGAAUAAGCACCGGCUAACUCCGUGCCAGCAGCCGCGGUAAUACGGAGGGUGCGGGAGUUAUCCGGAGUAAAGGGGUUGUAAGGGGGGUAUUAAGGCAGUGGUGAAAUCUUGUCGCUUAACGAUAAAAUUGCCAAUGAUACUGGUACUCUUGAAUUGGGCUGAGGUUAGCGGAAUGUGACAUGUAGCGGUGAAAUGCAUAGAUAUGUCAUGGAACACCAAUUGCGAAGGCAGCUAACUGGGCCUUGAUUGACGCUGAGGCACGAAAGCGUGGGUAGCGAACAGGAUUAGAUACCCCAGUAGUC
Molecule: ribosomal RNA, 450 nt
Filed under: uncultured bacterium
Lineage: Bacteria
Description: partial 16S ribosomal RNA
Rfam family: Bacterial small subunit ribosomal RNA
Source: RNAcentral